UGCAGUCGAGCGGAACGAUGAUAGCUUGCUAUCAGGCGUCGAGCGGCGGACGGGUGAGUAAUACUUAGGAAUCUACCUAGUAGUGGGGGAUAGCACGGGGAAACUCGUAUUAAUACCGCAUACGUCCUACGGGAGAAAGGGGGCAACUUGUUGCUCUCGCUAUUAGAUGAGCCUAAGUCGGAUUAGCUAGAUGGUGGGGUAAAGGCCUACCAUGGCGACGAUCUGUAGCUGGUCUGAGAGGAUGAUCAGCCACACCGGGACUGAGACACGGCCCGGACUCCUACGGGAGGCAGCAGUGGGGAAUAUUGGACAAUGGGGGAAACCCUGAUCCAGCCAUGCCGCGUGUGUGAAGAAGGCCUUUUGGUUGUAAAGCACUUUAAGCAGUGAAGAAGACUCCUCGGUUAAUACCCGUGGACGAUGACAUUAGCUGCAGAAUAAGCACCGGCUAACUCUGUGCCAGCAGCCGCGGUAAUACAGAGGGUGCAAGCGUUAAUCGGAAUUACUGGGCGUAAAGCGAGCGUAGGUGGCUUGAUAAGUCAGAUGUGAAAUCCCCGGGCUUAACCUGGGAACUGCAUCUGAAACUGUCAGACUAGAGUAGGUGAGAGGGAGGUAGAAUUUCAGGUGUAGCGGUGAAAUGCGUAGAGAUCUGAAGGAAUACCGAUGGCGAAGGCAGCCUCCUGGCAUCAUACUGACACUGAGGCUCGAAAGCGUGGGUAGCAAACAGGAUUAGAUACCCUGGUAGUCCACGCCGUAAACGAUGUCUACUAGUCGUUGGGUCCCUUGAGGACUUAGUGACGCAGCUAACGCAAUAAGUAGACCGCCUGGGGAGUACGGCCGCAAGGUUAAAACUCAAAUGAAUUGACGGGGGCCCGCACAAGCGGUGGAGCAUGUGGUUUAAUUCGAUGCAACGCGAA
RNAcentral lists this ribosomal RNA (914 nucleotides) under Psychrobacter sp. RNAcentral's name for it is "bacterial SSU rRNA". It matches the Rfam family "Bacterial small subunit ribosomal RNA", at positions 56 to 965 of the family's 1533-position model. The record is from RNAcentral. Lineage: Bacteria; Pseudomonadati; Pseudomonadota; Gammaproteobacteria; Moraxellales; Moraxellaceae.